Molecule: RNA transcript, 1865 nt
Organism: Manihot esculenta (cassava)
Lineage: Eukaryota; Viridiplantae; Streptophyta; Magnoliopsida; Malpighiales; Euphorbiaceae
Gene name: putative UDP-rhamnose:rhamnosyltransferase 1
Exons: 2
Source: RefSeq, a predicted model, not a curated record
CGCUUGAAAGUGAAACCUGCAAAAAGAACAUGACAGAGCCUAUAUAUCUAAAAGCAAUUUGCCGACAGUAAACAAAAGAACUCUCUCGAACAGCACCCACAGCCACAUAAUUCAACAUGAGCGAAGCUAAGAAGCUGCACGUUGCUCUGUUUCCAUGGCUAGCAUUCGGUCAUCUAAUCCCAUUCCUUGAGCUCGCCAAGCGCAUAGCUAAGAGGGGUCACAAAAUCUCUUUCAUAUCCACCCCCAGAAACAUCCAACGUCUACCAAAAAUUCCUCCAAAUUUGGAACCUCUUCUCAAUUUAGUGAGCCUCCCUUUGCCGACAGUUGAACAUCUCCCACAGAAUGCGGAGGCCACCACUGAUAUACCUUCCCGGAAAACUGCAUACCUCAAGAUUGCCUAUGACGGUCUCCAAGUCCCUCUGCUUCAGUUUUUACAAACUUCUAAUCCAGAUUGGAUCAUCUAUGACUUUGCUCCCUAUUGGUUACCUCCCAUGGUGGCUGAUCUUGGGAUUUCUGCUGUCUUCUUCAGUAUGUACGGUGCCUGGACUCUAUCUUUCUUAGGAUCAUCUCCCUCAGCCCUGAUUAAAGGUGAGGAUCCACGAACUCGACCAGAGGAUUUCACUGUGCCUCCUCAGUGGAUCCCUUUUCCUUCCAAGGUCGCUUUUCGGCUCCAUGAGGCAAAGCGAGCUUUUGCUGAUCACUUUGAGGUAAACACUUCGGGUUUCUCCGAUAUGUUUCGUUUAGGUUCAGUAAUGCAAGGUUGUGACGCUAUAGUUAUACGGAACUGCAAUGAGCUAGAACGUAAUUUUUCGAUGCUUGUCGAGGAGUUUUCCGGCAAGCCUGUUCUACCACUAGGUUUAUUGCCGCCUGUAGAUCUUGAUGGCAGCAGUGACGAAGAUGUUACAUGGCUUACAAUCAAAGAGUGGCUAGACAAGCAAAGCAAAGGUUCUGUGGUUUACAUAGCAUUUGGAAGCGAGUCGGAACUGAGUCAACCCGAGUUACACGAAUUGGCACAUGGAUUGGAGUUAUCAGGGUUUCCAUUCUUUUGGGCUCUAAGGAAGCGAGAUAACUCGGUGAAAUUACCAGACGGGUUUGAGGAGCGAGUGAAGGGACGUGGAAUGGUGUGGGGAAGUUGGGUACCUCAACUCAAAAUUAUGGGUCAUGAAUCGGUGGGAGGCUUCUUAACUCACUGUGGUUAUGCUUCAAUGUUAGAGGCACUUUACUUUGAACGUCCUUUGAUCAUGCUGCCAAUCUCCAUAGACCAAGGAUUAAUUGCAAGAUUUUUUAGUGAGAAGAUGGUGGGUAUAGAGGUGAAACGAGAUGGAGAAGAUGGGUCUCUUAGAAGGGACUCGAUAGCUGCCUCGCUUAGGUUAGUUAUGGUUGAAAAGGAAGGAGAAGUCUAUAGAAACGGAGCAAAGGAGAUGAAGAAACUAAUUGCAGAUAAAGAUGUUCACGAUCGAUACAUAGACCAUUUUGUUGAGUUUAUGCAAAAUCACCGAGUUGCUUGAACGAGUCAACUCAACUAUGUGAUUUCGAACCGUAAGCGCCAUAAUGGUAGAGCAUGUGCUGAAUGUUGAUUGUUUAAUGCGCCUCGUCCUGCUGAAAGGUUUGCAGGUACGGGAUAGACCAGGAGGCCAUCUAGAGUAAAGUGAUGUCUUGUAAUAGCUAGUUGUGGACAUGAGAAUAUUGUAAUGUAAUGUAUCGAAUAGUUAUGAAAUGUUAAGGAUUGUAUUGAGGAUAGAAUUGUGCUUGAUUCUAGUAUGUUAGUUAAUCCCUUUAUACAUGGUCUUUAAUAAUGUUUUAUUAUUGUUUAUGUAAACCAAACUUAAGUUAUGAUAUGUUACCCCAUUGGAGCAAUUGAUGAG